UGGGCGUAAAGCGCGCGCAGGCGGUUCCUUAAGUCUGAUGUGAAAGCCCACGGCUCAACCGUGGAGGGUCAUUGGAAACUGGGGAGCUUGAGUGCAGAAGAGGAGAGCGGAAUUCCACGUGUAGCGGUGAAAUGCGUAGAGAUGUGGAGGAACACCAGUGGCGAAGGCGGCUCUUUGUUCUGUAACUGACGCUGAGGCGCGAAACCGUGGGGAGCGAACAGGA
This 223-nucleotide ribosomal RNA is filed under the name Priestia megaterium. RNAcentral describes it as "Bacillus megaterium partial 16S ribosomal RNA". It matches the Rfam family "Bacterial small subunit ribosomal RNA", at positions 555 to 777 of the family's 1533-position model. The record is from RNAcentral. Lineage: Bacteria; Bacillati; Bacillota; Bacilli; Caryophanales; Bacillaceae.